Long non-coding RNA from Nanorana parkeri, 94 nucleotides. RefSeq lists it as uncharacterized. The transcript is spliced from 3 exons. The record is from RefSeq and is a predicted model, not a curated record. Lineage: Eukaryota; Metazoa; Chordata; Amphibia; Anura; Dicroglossidae.
AAAAACCUGCAUUUGUAUUGAGUGAUGUGGCACCAUUUUCAUUGCUAUAUUUCAUUUUGCAGGAAAGUUAUGGAGCAUAAUCACACAUCUCCCU